RNAcentral lists this ribosomal RNA (1008 nucleotides) under Yersinia sp. (in: enterobacteria). RNAcentral describes it as "bacterial SSU rRNA". It matches the Rfam family "Bacterial small subunit ribosomal RNA", at positions 38 to 1051 of the family's 1533-position model. Lineage: Bacteria; Pseudomonadati; Pseudomonadota; Gammaproteobacteria; Enterobacterales; Yersiniaceae. The record is from RNAcentral.
GGCGUCGGUCUAUCUAUGCAGUCGAGCGGCAGCGGGAAGUAGUUUACUACUUUGCCGGCGAGCGGCGGACGGGUGAGUAAUGUCUGGGAAACUGCCUGAUGGAGGGGGAUAACUACUGGAAACGGUAGCUAAUACCGCAUGACCUCGCAAGAGCAAAGUGGGGGACCUUCGGGCCUCACGCCAUCGGAUGUGCCCAGAUGGGAUUAGCUAGUAGGUGGGGUAAUGGCUCACCUAGGCGACGAUCCCUAGCUGGUCUGAGAGGAUGACCAGCCACACUGGAACUGAGACACGGUCCAGACUCCUACGGGAGGCAGCAGUGGGGAAUAUUGCACAAUGGGCGCAAGCCUGAUGCAGCCAUGCCGCGUGUGUGAAGAAGGCCUUCGGGUUGUAAAGCACUUUCAGCGAGGAGGAAGGCAGUCGUGUUAAUAGCACGAUUGAUUGACGUUACUCGCAGAAGAAGCACCGGCUAACUCCGUGCCAGCAGCCGCGGUAAUACGGAGGGUGCAAGCGUUAAUCGGAAUUACUGGGCGUAAAGCGCACGCAGGCGGUUUGUUAAGUCAGAUGUGAAAUCCCCGCGCUUAACGUGGGAACUGCAUUUGAAACUGGCAAGCUAGAGUCUUGUAGAGGGGGGUAGAAUUCCAGGUGUAGCGGUGAAAUGCGUAGAGAUCUGGAGGAAUACCGGUGGCGAAGGCGGCCCCCUGGACAAAGACUGACGCUCAGGUGCGAAAGCGUGGGGAGCAAACAGGAUUAGAUACCCUGGUAGUCCACGCUGUAAACGAUGUCGACUUGGAGGUUGUGCCCUUGAGGCGUGGCUUCCGGAGCUAACGCGUUAAGUCGACCGCCUGGGGAGUACGGCCGCAAGGUUAAACUCAAAUGAAUUGACGGGGCCCGCACAGCGGUGGAGCAUGUGGUUAAUUCGAUGCACGCGAAAACCUUCCUACUCUUGACUCCACGGAAUUAGCAAAGAUGCUUCGUGCCUUCGGAACUGUGAAACAGGGCUGAUGGUGG